Molecule: long non-coding RNA, 482 nt
Filed under: Anas platyrhynchos platyrhynchos (common mallard)
Lineage: Eukaryota; Metazoa; Chordata; Aves; Anseriformes; Anatidae
Description: lncRNA (ENSAPLG00000018154.1)
Source: RNAcentral
UUUAUGCUGUUACCUUCUUGUAACAUGGCAGUAAGAAAUUUGCAACUAAAUUUGAGCUAAAAUUCAACCUACGUCACUUCUUACUGUGUGCGUGUAUCAGGGUAAAUCUUUACCUUCAUUGGUGGUAGAAAGAGCAGUAUAGUUGAGGAGAUUUAUAUUUGUCUUUCCGGUCCAGGUUUCUGGAGCCAGACCAGCAGUGAUAAACACCUAAUGAGUUCUGCUGCUGAAACACAUAUAUGAAGAGUUUCUUCAUGCACUUUAUGUGCACUUGUCCUGGGAAAUUGUGUAUGACUCUACAUAGCAAGCAGACUUGAAUAUGACUUUGAACGAUUUGAGGAGGAUACUUCAAAAAAUAGGUAAAAAAGAAUAAGUAAUAAUUCUAAAGUGCACUCGUGCCUGUGUUGUUUUAUUUUUCUUGCUACUGACUUUUAUAGAUUCACUAGUUCAAUAUCUCUUGAUUAUAGAAAAGUCAGGAAAAAUAU